CAUGGCUGUGAAGGUAAACAAAUGGGCAUGCCUCUCCUCCCCCAGCUCAUCCCCUCCAAUCCCUAACAUUGAUUUUUAUAUAUUUCUUCCUGCUCAAAUAUAAAAGAUGAUACAAAUGAUGGUAAAUCAAACUAACCUCUGGAUCAUGGUUUUGAAUAACGGCCUUUACAUAAUGAAUGGCUAGGGUACCAUUACCAAUACCCCCAUAAGUAAUGGGCAUUUAAAUUUCAGGCUGGUGACAACCUACUACGGCCAUUAAUGCGUAUCACUUAAAGGUGACAGAAUGAACUUUGAUGAUAACUACCUAGCUAUUUUAAUUUUAAAUUGAUUAAUACUAAUUAUGUUUAAGAAUGAUGGAUUUAAUGUCUU
This 369-nucleotide unclassified non-coding RNA is filed under the name Hevea brasiliensis (rubber tree). The record is from RNAcentral. Lineage: Eukaryota; Viridiplantae; Streptophyta; Magnoliopsida; Malpighiales; Euphorbiaceae.